This is a non-coding RNA of Schizosaccharomyces pombe (fission yeast), 220 nucleotides long. Lineage: Eukaryota; Fungi; Ascomycota; Schizosaccharomycetes; Schizosaccharomycetales; Schizosaccharomycetaceae. The record is from the annotation of a GenBank genome assembly.
AAAAGUCUAGAAGUCUAACUGUUACAAUAUCUGACUGUAGAUUUUCUUCAUCGAUAUUCAACUCGUAAACCAUUUUGCAAUUAAGAUGUAGGCAAUGUUAAAUAAAACUCGUUUACAUCCAAACACCUGAUCGUUUAUAUCGAUUCGUGUUCUUCAACAAAAGUAAAAUCUUUAAUAUUUUCCAAAUUUUUUUUUAAUUAAACAAUCAGGGCCGAUCUAA